Molecule: long non-coding RNA, 1300 nt
Filed under: Salmo salar (Atlantic salmon)
Lineage: Eukaryota; Metazoa; Chordata; Actinopteri; Salmoniformes; Salmonidae
Description: lncRNA (ENSSSAG00000115599.1)
Source: RNAcentral
GAGAGGAGGAGUUACAGCUGAGAAGAUAAUUUCUGUGAAUAACUCAAGGGCCCCAUUCCAAUACUCUACAAAUACAUCCUUCCUUCCCACGGGCCCCAUUCCAAUACUCUACAAAUACAUCCUUCCUUCCCACGGGCCCCAUUCCAAUACUCUACAAAUACAUCCUUCCUUCCCACGGGCCCCAUUCCAAUACUCUACAAAUACAUCCUUCCUUCCCACGGGCCCCAUUCCAAUACUCUACAAAUACAUCCUUCCUUCCCACGGGUCCCAUUCCAAUACUCUACAAAUACAUCCUUCCUUCCCACGGGCCCCAUUCCAAUACUUUACAAAUACAUCCUUCCUUCCCACGGGCCCCAUUCCAAUACUCUACAAAUGCAUCCUUCCUUCCCACGGGCCCCAUUCCAAUACUCUACAAAUACAGCCUUCCUUCUAUUCAUGCACAUCUCUCCAGGUUUCCCACGUUGAGCCAACAUUAUAACAUUACAUUAUAACACAUUGUCUUUAAAACACGUCAAAACCUAAGUUCUACUCUACAGGUGACAGUGAAGGGCAGUAAGGACCUUGUUUACACAAAGCUCUUGGAAUGGGGGGAGGAGGGGUGAGGGAGGAGGGACAGAGAUAGAGGAAAGGGGUGAGGAGGGACAGAGGGUGAGGAGGGGUGAGGUAGGAGGGACAGAGGGUGAGGAGGGGUGAGGGAGGAGGGACAGAGAUGGAGGGGUGAGGUAGGAGGGACAGAGGGUGAGGAGGGGUGAAGUAGGAGGGACAGAGGGUGAGGAGAGGUGAGGGAGGAGGGACAGAGAUAGAGGAAAGGGGUGAGGAGGGGUGAGGUAGGAGGGACAGAGGGUGAGGAGGGUUGAGGUAGAAGGGACAGAGGGUGAGGAGGGGUGAGGGAGGAGGGACAGAGGGUGAGGAGGGGUGAGGUAGGAGGGACAGAGGGUGAGGAGGGAAAGAUGAGAAGAACAGGAAGUGACAGACUGGUAUGAAGAAGUAAAAGAUGAGAAGGACAGGAAGUGACAGACUGGUAUGAAGAAGUAAAAGAUGAGAAGGACAGGAAGUGACAGACUGGUAUUAAGGAGUAAAAGAUGAGAAGGACAGGAAGUGACAGACUGGUAUGAAGAAGUAAAAGAGAAGAAGGAAGCACCAAUUAUAUAACAUAUACCAUCUAAGAGUUAAAUAUUACUCCAGGUUAAAGUUAACCUCCUAACCACAAAAUCUAAGAUCAGCUGUCCUCGGGUUUGAAAUAUUCCUCCUGUAAACUUUCCCAUGAAAUCUCCACUUUCACAGAAAUCCUAGAAAAUCC